CCACAUCAUGUUGAAAUAUUGGUUCCCAUAUGAUCACCAAAGUUAAACAAUGUCGAGCCUGGUCCUUACCUAGAUGGGUGAUCACUUGGGAAUAUCAGGUGCUGUAAG
Non-coding RNA from Acanthosepion pharaonis, 108 nucleotides. The record is from the annotation of a GenBank genome assembly. Lineage: Eukaryota; Metazoa; Mollusca; Cephalopoda; Sepiida; Sepiidae.